CAGCCGCCGCGGUAAUACCGGCGGCCCGAGUGGUGGCCGCUAUUAUUGGGCCUAAAGCGUCCGUAGCCGGGCCCGUAAGUCCCUGGCGAAAUCCCACGGCUCAACCGUGGGGCUUGCUGGGGAUACUGCGGGCCUUGGGACCGGGAGAGGCGAGGGGUACCCCUGGGGUAGGGGUGAAAUCCUAUAAUCCCAGGGGGACCGCCAGUGGCGAAGGCGCCCCGCUGGAACGGGUCCGACGGUGAGGGACGAAGGCCAGGGGAGCAAACCGGAUUAGAUACCCGGGUAGUCCUGGCUGUAAAGGAUGCGGGCUAGGUGUCGGGUGAGCUUCGGGCUCGCCCGGUGCCGUAGGGAAGCCGUUAAGCCCGCCGCCUGGGGAGUACGGCCGCAAGGCUGAAACUUAAAGGAAUUGGCGGG
RNAcentral lists this ribosomal RNA (414 nucleotides) under uncultured microorganism. RNAcentral's name for it is "bacterial SSU rRNA". It matches the Rfam family "Archaeal small subunit ribosomal RNA", at positions 459 to 872 of the family's 1478-position model. The record is from RNAcentral.